UUGGUCUCAAUUAUUCCCUAUAUGUGCACUUUGAUUAAUAUAUAUUUUAGAAUACAUCUUUGACAAAUUGCAUUCAUAUCUUUCCUGGCUUUCUGAUGAUAUCUUCUUACUUUCUUAUUGAAAAUGUGUUUAUGAUUUGGAAAACAUAGCAGUAGCCCCUCAUAGAACCCUUUUUGUCGUUUUAUCUCACUGAUAGAUAUCAAGACUGGCCCAGAAAACACCACAAAAAGUUAUCUAUGUGUCUUUUAUGGAGCUUGGUAAUUAUAUAUCUGUACCAUGUUUGCUACUACAGACUUGCUCUGGCCAGAAAGAAAGAAUGAAGAAUGAAGUAAUUGAAUUUUACCAAAUCACUUUAUAUCCUUAUGUAGUCUACCCUCUAAAGGCAUUGCUUAAGUUUAUAGAAAUAUUGUAUUUUCAGGACUAUGGUUACCUGGUACGGGGUACAGGUGUAAGCAUUGUCACUAAAUCAAAUGGAAAGCAAUAACCGGAACGCCAAUUUUAGUGGUCCAGCUUGCACACCAAGGCUAUCGGGAAUGCUUGAUUGCACACCAAGGCGAUAUGGAAUGCUUGAUUUGUGGUCGGUUUUUCUUAGUCUUCUUCUCCUUGAACUUUACCCAAUUAGUCAUAUGAAGUUAUGGCAUUUAUUCUCAAUUAAAAUAAUUUUUUUUAUAAAGUAAGAAGAAAAAACAAACAGUUGAACCAAAAGAGUUUUCAGUUUUUGUUAAUUGCAACCAUGAUUUAAUGUUGGACUUUGUUUUAUACCCAAAUUAUCUUUGCCAGUUUAUUAUUUAAGGUUGAUCAGCUUCAAUAGCAUUGGUUGACAUUAGUAUGCUAUGUGCCCAUGUUUUCCCAGUUACCUGAUUAGUCAACUGUGUCCAAUCUUCUAACACUGUUCAUGCUCCUCUGUGUUGUUCUGUUAUGAUAUUACUUUUUCUCUUCCAUUUUUCUUGAAAAAGUUGAAUUAGCUUUAUGUGGAACGUAACAAUCUUGUAUUUUGGUAUAUUUCCUGUUACAUUUCUUGUAACUGGGAUCUAGUGUAUGGCAUUAUUGGAUUGCGGUCAUACUUCAAGGUAGGUAAUUUUCUUGCUGCAUUUGCUUGAAUGUGCUUUCCACCAUCUGAGAUGAUUUUUGGAAAAUUGCAGAGACUGAAACUUUACAUUCAAAGGUGAUUGAUGGCUUGUUAUAUCCAUCGGUUGAUGUCUCAAUUCAUCUUGUAGAUGUGAAUGUAUAUGCAUGCACAAAGAACCGAGAAAGGGCCGCUAGCCUGCAAAAUGAAAAUCUUAUAUUAGUGUGUUGACAUAUUUGAUGCGUACAUGAUUCGGCCGCCCUCCCACUUAGUAAGUUCUAAUUAUAGGUUUGAUCAUUGUUCCUUUCAUGUUUUUUAUACUAAUCCCAUUGCUGCAAGUUAUGAAACAGCUGAGAACAAGCGGAUUACAGGGCUUUGGAGAAACUUAAGAGAUGGUGCCAUGAAACUCAAGGAAGCUGCUUUCAGAGAUGAUGAGGUCAUUGAGUUGGGGUAGCCCAUGGGCAAGGCUCCACCUGGCAAAAACAUACUUAAAAGAAACGCCAGUUUGAAUAUCUGCCAAGUUGCACCUAUCAGAUUUGUUUCUGUACUCUACAGAAGAUUAUCAAAUGAAAGAUGUAAUAAUUCUGUGCCAUGGAGAGCAUGACACAUGGUCAUGAAUUCUGCUUAAAAAGAAAGUAUAAACACAACUCUUUUGAGUUCUGAAAUGGUUUGAUCAAAGCGCUUAUCUGAAAGCAUCAAUAUUGAAUUUGAAAUCUCAA
Hevea brasiliensis (rubber tree) is the source of this 1785-nucleotide long non-coding RNA. RefSeq lists it as uncharacterized. The record is from RefSeq and is a predicted model, not a curated record. The transcript is spliced from 2 exons. Lineage: Eukaryota; Viridiplantae; Streptophyta; Magnoliopsida; Malpighiales; Euphorbiaceae.